Molecule: long non-coding RNA, 261 nt
Organism: Apteryx owenii (little spotted kiwi)
Lineage: Eukaryota; Metazoa; Chordata; Aves; Apterygiformes; Apterygidae
Source: Ensembl
UUUCUCUAAUUACAGCCUCUUUUUGUUCUCCCCAGCCAGUUUCUUAGAGCACAACCUGAUAUUUAAGCCUGCCUCCAUGCAUCAGUUCAACUUACUCUUCUUCUAAUAUGAUGGUUCUGGAAAAUAUGAAGUUGGUCCAGCCACACCUUCAGUACCUUCUCUCAUUUCCACUGAAGUUUAUGGGAGGAAAGAAAUGCAGAGCUAAUGGGACGAGUGCACCCCUGGUUCAGCUUCACCGAGACUAGAGGAGUUAACGCGAGG